UUUUUAUUUGAGAGAGAGCAAGCGGGUGCAUGCACAUGUGAGCAGGGGGAGAGGCAGAGGGAGAGGAAGAAACAGACUCCCCACUGAGUGCAAAGCCUGAUGCAGGGGUCGAUCUCAGGACCCUAAGAUAAUGACCCAAACCAAAACGAAGAGUUGGACAUCCAACUGAUAGAGCCACCCAGGUGCCCCAUGGGGUUGGGAACUUGGUUAGGAUUAAGACCUCACUCCCUUUCCUGCCCAUAACCCAAAGAUCAGUGUUGUUCCAAUACCUUUGGGUUCUCCACCUCUGUGUCCACCACUUCACCCCACCCCUACACUCCCGAAAGGAAGGACUCGGCUAGUCGUCCUCUCUCCGACAUCCUCACAUCUCACUGGCCUGCCAUGCAGUUGUGGGAGAGACACAACAGAUCUUUGGAUCUCCAUUGCUUCACUGGUAAACUGAGGAAUCAUGUCAGAUGUUGCAAAGAGGUAGCCCUGACCAGACCGUUGGGCACGCUUUGGGUGUGUUAGCUUGUUUGCUUUAUGUUUUCUUUUCAUCUGUUUUUGCUUCCUCUGUGGUGUUUUUGAAGAAUUGCAGGCUGAGUCACCAGCAUGUAGAGUUCAGGAAUUUCACAUAACGAUCUGGAUCUCUGGCUUCCCUCAAUGUGUCAGAGGUCUGUAAACACUGGGUCCACCUGCCAGGGCUGAGGAGCAGAUAGAGUGUGUUCUUUCUGGAUCACCACAGACCUCACCAGGCCCUAUUGUACACCCCUCUAGCUCCUUCACCUGUCUCUGCAGCUUCUUUAGCCCCUGUUACAUCACUUGGAACCCCUGCCUUAGAAACCCUCUGAUGCUCAAGAUUAAAGGAUGAACCUGAAACUUCCCCGUGGGUUCUGUGAUGGGGGCGAGGGGAUAGUCAGUGGCUUGUAACUGGCUCCCCACCCUGGAAUUCAGCACCUUUACAUGCCUUAUUGUCCUGGCAUCUCUCAUUCCCCAGGCUGCUCUGUGUCUUCGGUGUGCAAGAAAGGGACAUUGGAAAGAGAGCUCCAGGGACCCCUGGGUAGCUCAGUGGUUGAGCAUCUGCCUUCGGCUCAGGUUGUGAUCCCAGGGUCCAGGGAUCGAGUUCUACAUCAGGCUCCCCAUGGUGAGCCUGCUUCUCCCUCUGCCUGUGUCUCUGCCUCUCUCUCUUUCUCAUGAAUGAAUAAAUUAAAAAUUAAAAAAAAAAAAAAAAAAGAAAGAGAGCUCCAGAACCAGUGAAUCCCGGCUUUGCCACUUCCUAGGUAGCCAACUGUUGAUUUCCUUAUUUUUAGAAAUGAUUUUAAAAAAAUAAUAAAUAUCUUCACGGAGUUGUCAUGAGAAUAAUUAAGUAUUGAGACUCUGCCUAUACAGCAGGGGGAAGGGACCCACUGUGAAAAGGUGCCUUUAUCCAAUAUCAUAAUUGUAUUUAUAGUAAUCGUAGGCACUAAUUGGGCUCCAAGUGAUGUGCUAAAGACGUUGUGCACCUGAACUCACUGAAUUCUCCUGAUAACUGUAUGGGGUAGAUAUCACUCUUGUGGAACCAAUGACAAGCAUGGAGACUCAGAGAGGUUAAGUAACUUUUCCAAAAUUGCACAGAUAGCAAAUAACCAGAUCCAAAUCCAGGUAUUUGGACUCUGGAGCCUAUUUGCUUAAUCAUGCAGCCAUGCCCCAAUGUACUACUCAUCUUCCUGUUUGCAUGAUCAGAGACUAGGGGACAUGGUUGGAUCCAAGGUCAUGAGUGAGGACGUGGAGGACACUGUUCUUUUCCCAGAAGGGAUUCACCCUCACCUGCAUCUUAUCAACUCUGAGCAGGACAUGCCUCUGAAUGUCCUGCUUUCAUCCUCUUCCCGCCCCUCCACCUCCAUCACCUGUUUGCCAUAUGGCAGCCAAAACGUUGCUCUUAAAAUACAAACAGAAUAAUGCAGUGCCUUCCCAAAACCUUCCAGCGGCUUCCCAGAGUCCUGAAAAUAUAGUUAACCUCUCCUGUCAGCCCAGGCGUUCAUUACUCAUCUUCCCCUCCCUCCUCGCUCCAGGCACACUGGCCUCCUCCCAACACCAGGCCCUCUCUGCCCCCCAGGCCUUGGAUCUGGUUGUUCCCUCUCUGGUCUUCCCCAGGCCUCACCCAAGCCUGUCCUCCGACCUUCCCGACUCCCCGGUCUCCACCAUCUGCCUCCAAACAUGCCCUGGGCGGUUAGAGUGUCAGCUCAGCCAGACAGGGACUUCUUGAUUCACUGCUGUUUCCAUGGGCCACUUGACACGAUACCUGUCUACAGCAGGUACUUCUUAAAGAUUUCUGAACAAAUGGGACAGGAUUUACCAGAGGGGUUGCACAUCCAACCAUUUGCAACAUGACUCUACGACUCCCUCAUCAGGAAUUGGGGGCUUGGAUGCGGAGUGGCCUUGCAAUUUGCUUUGGCUAAGAAAAUAUGGUGGAGGUGAAUUGCGCUGGCUUCACACAUCUCUGUUCUCAGCUCUUCCUCAUACCCCAGUGCCGUCCCUGGAGCCAAGAAGUAGGUUUUAAGCAGGUAGGUGACAAAGAUGAAGAAGGAUGUAGCUGAAGGGUGUAUCUUGGAAGUGAGAUCAGAAUGGAUUCAAGGGACCAGUGAGCAGGCACCCACCGCACGGACCCCGAUGAGGAAGGACCCGGGCACUCCUGCUAUUCACCCCUUCACAAGCAAGUAAGGAGCGGAGUUGGGGUUUGCACCUGAUCACGGUGGCAACUGCGGGGCAUGUUGCUGGUUUACCUGCUUACUGCUUUUCGCAUGCAGAGUCUGUGAUCUCCAUAUCUUCAUUCUUGCCUCCCCAUCACUACCAUAGCCUGUGCAGAGCCCUGUUUUGUUUAGCUCACUUACAGCCGACCAGAAUGCCAGACCUCGCCAGGAAGAGGAAUGCAAGAAGUGGGACCAUCUGGCUGGCGGGAGAGUGUGGCUGCUGCAUGCAAACUGGUGAACGCCCUGCAGGACAGGAAACCCUAACACCUGGGGGUAGCUUGUCUAUCAGAGUGAACAAAAACAGACACCUGAACCGGCUUUAUGCAGGUUAACCUGGGACUUGGCAGGAGUGGUAAAUGACGGCUUCUAAACAAUUGUUAGUUAAAUGGUUUCAUCUACAACGUGACCCUCAGACAGGACUUGUUAAUGCUCUAGCAAUAUUUCAUAAGGAGGCACCCCUCAAUGUUACUUUCGAGUUCGGGGCUCUUCCUAAUGGGGGUGCACCCCUUCUUCCCCACUCUCCCGGAGAUGGACAUUUAGGAGGCUCCUACUCACUGCCCCCCAAGCAACAUGGAGAUGGACACUGGUGCCUGUGGUGAGUUGGGGGUGGGAUGGAGAACCACCAUGAGGUCCUGUCUGCACCACUCUGCACCCCCACCAGCUGGCACAACGUUUGCUCGUGGCCUUGCAAAGGGGCCUUCUGUUUCAGCCAUCCAGCAUCUCCUUCCUUUUGAGGGGCUGCUCCCAAGUCUUGGAGACAUGUCAUUCUGGGAUGUGGAAGCUGAUCGGAUGGACACACCCCCGGGUGGGUACCAAGGGGGUGAACACCCCAGUGCCCACUUCUGCAUCUCCUUAGCUGUCUUGGUUCCCCAAUCCUAACCAGGACCUGGGCUCAUGGGGACUUUGCUUUCUGAGUGACACAAGGGGGAGCAGGGCUAACACGCCCUCAUCAGCAGUCCACACUGAUGGGAGGCAUGUAUGUCAAAGGGCUCCCCUGAGGAAAUCAGGGCCUAGGGGAGCUCAUCAGAAGGUGUAGAGCCUGAACAGCCAAAGGAGUGCUGGCACUGGUGAUAGAGGUGGGGAGCCCUGAGUGAGCUGGAGCUGGGGGCAUGAGGAGCAGGGGCCAGUGCAGUGGAGUCGGACCACCCACUUCAGAUCCAUGACCACGGCCAGCCACUUACCCUUCCCAUGCCUCUGUUUCCCCAUCUGUGUAACGUGACUACUUCACUGGACUGUAGUGAUAAAUCAGAUGGUAGAUUUCAACACUUGAUACGGGACCUGCCCCACAGCCAGUGGCAGUUUAUCCUGCCAUCUAUCACUGGAACUCCAUCCUCAGACCUCACCCCACCCCUGCAUGCUCCCCCCAGUAUCCUCCUGAGAUCUUGCAGCAGCAGACGCAGAGGCUUCUCCACACUGGUUUCCUCUGCUGGAUAGUGGGUGCAGUGAUGCAGUGCUGUGAUGAACGUGCCUGUGGGUGUUCGUGUUGGCAAGCAAUGUGUUUGUCUACACACUGCCCCCCUGGACCUCCUACCCACCCUUCCCACCCCCACCCCAUGGUGCUUGUUGACACCUAGGGGCUGGACCAGGGCACCCUGGCAGACACAUGGCAUUCCUUGAGACUGCUUGGUGCCCAAACCUCCCCCAGCUGUUUGAGGACUGUCCUGCCUCACAGGUCAUUGAAGUGGGGUGCCAGCCUCUAGCUACAGAUGUCUGACAGUCUAGUUAUUUGCCCUCCCAGACUCCCUUAUGCUAGGGGAUG
Molecule: long non-coding RNA, 4467 nt
Filed under: Canis lupus familiaris (dog)
Lineage: Eukaryota; Metazoa; Chordata; Mammalia; Carnivora; Canidae
Description: lncRNA (ENSCAFG00000058944.1)
Source: RNAcentral